UACUAUCCUGGGCCUACUAAU
RNAcentral lists this non-coding RNA (21 nucleotides) under Arabidopsis thaliana (thale cress). The record is from RNAcentral. Lineage: Eukaryota; Viridiplantae; Streptophyta; Magnoliopsida; Brassicales; Brassicaceae.